RNAcentral lists this ribosomal RNA (191 nucleotides) under uncultured Glomus. RNAcentral's name for it is "partial 18S ribosomal RNA". It matches the Rfam family "Eukaryotic small subunit ribosomal RNA", at positions 595 to 788 of the family's 1831-position model. Lineage: Eukaryota; Fungi; Glomeromycota; Glomeromycetes; Glomerales; Glomeraceae. The record is from RNAcentral.
UAGCGUAUAUUAAAGUUGUUGCAGUUAAAAAGCUCGUAGUUGAAUUUCGGGAUCAAUACGUCGGUCGUGCUUUCGGUACGUACUGGCGUCAUUGGUUUUUUCCUUCUGACGAACCAUGAUGUCAUUAAUUUGGUGUUAUGGGGAGUUAGGACUGUUACUUUGAAAAAAUUAGAGUGUUUAAAGAAGGCCAA